This 497-nucleotide ribosomal RNA is filed under the name uncultured bacterium. RNAcentral describes it as "partial 16S ribosomal RNA". It matches the Rfam family "Bacterial small subunit ribosomal RNA", at positions 28 to 507 of the family's 1533-position model. The record is from RNAcentral.
GAUGAACGCUGGCGGCGUGCCUAAUACAUGCAAGUCGAGCGAACGGACGAGAAGCUUGCUUCUCUGAUGUUAGCGGCGGACGGGUGAGUAACACGUGGAUAACCUACCUAUAAGACUGGGAUAACUUCGGGAAACCGGAGCUAAUACCGGAUAAUAUUUUGAACCGCAUGGUUCAAAAGUGAAAGACGGUCUUGCUGUCACUUAUAGAUGGAUCCGCGCCGCAUUAGCUAGUUGGUAAGGUAACGGCUUACCAAGGCAACGAUGCAUAGCCGACCUGAGAGGGUGAUCGGCCACACUGGAACUGAGACACGGUCCAGACUCCUACGGGAGGCAGCAGUAGGGAAUCUUCCGCAAUGGGCGAAAGCCUGACGGAGCAACGCCGCGUGAGUGAUGAAGGUCUUCGGAUCGUAAAACUCUGUUAUUAGGGAAGAACAUAUGUGUAAGUAACUGUGCACAUCUUGACGGUACCUAAUCAGAAAGCCACGGCUAACUACGUG